This 253-nucleotide ribosomal RNA is filed under the name uncultured bacterium. Its description in RNAcentral is "partial 16S ribosomal RNA". It matches the Rfam family "Bacterial small subunit ribosomal RNA", at positions 524 to 776 of the family's 1533-position model. The record is from RNAcentral.
UACAGAGGGUGCAAGCGUUAAUCGGAAUUACUGGGCGUAAAGCGAGCGUAGUCGGUUAUUUAAGUCGGAUGUGAAAUCCCCGGGCUCAACCUGGAAAUUGCAUUCGAUACUGGAUAGCUAGAGUUCGGCAGAGGGAAGCGGAAUUUCUGGUGUAGCGGUGAAAUGCGUAGAUAUCAGAAGGAACAUCAGUGGCGAAAGCGGCUUCCUGGACCAGAACUGACGAUCAGGCUCGAAAGCGUGGGGAGCAAACAGG